GACGAACGCUGGCGGCGUGCCUAAUACAUGCAAGUCGAACGCAGUGGGGACGGGUGAGUAACACGUGGGUAACCUCCCAUCAGAGGGGAUAACACUUGGAAACAGGUGCUAAACCGAUACUGAUGGAUGGACCCGCGGUGCAUUAGCUAGUUGGUGAGGUAACGGCUCACCAAGGCCACGAUGCAUAGUGGACCUGAGAGGGCGAUCGGCCACACUGGGACGGAGACACGGCCCAUACUCCUCCGGGAGGGAGGAGUAGGGAAUCUGCGGCAAUGGACGAAAGUCUGACCGAGCUAAUCCGCGUGAGUGAAGAAGGUUUUCGGGUCGUAAAACUCUGUUGUUAGAGAAGCGGUAUCUAACCAGAAAGCCACGGCUAACUACGUGCCAGCAGCCGCGGUAAUUC
RNAcentral lists this ribosomal RNA (403 nucleotides) under uncultured bacterium. Its description in RNAcentral is "partial 16S ribosomal RNA". It matches the Rfam family "Bacterial small subunit ribosomal RNA", at positions 28 to 526 of the family's 1533-position model. The record is from RNAcentral.